RNAcentral lists this ribosomal RNA (856 nucleotides) under Leuconostoc pseudomesenteroides. Its description in RNAcentral is "bacterial SSU rRNA". It matches the Rfam family "Bacterial small subunit ribosomal RNA", at positions 28 to 866 of the family's 1533-position model. The record is from RNAcentral. Lineage: Bacteria; Bacillati; Bacillota; Bacilli; Lactobacillales; Lactobacillaceae.
GAUGAACGCUGGCGGCGUGCUAAUACAUGCAAGUCGAACGCACAGCGAAAGGUGCUUGCACCUUUCAAGUGAGUGGCGAACGGGUGAGUAACACGUGGACAACCUGCCUCAAGGCUGGGGAUAACAUUUGGAAACAGAUGCUAAUACCGAAUAAAACUCAGUGUCGCAUGACACAAAGUUAAAAGGCGCUUUGGCGUCACCUAGAGAUGGAUCCGCGGUGCAUUAGUUAGUUGGUGGGGUAAAGGCCUACCAAGACGAUGAUGCAUAGCCGAGUUGAGAGACUGAUCGGCCACAUUGGGACUGAGACACGGCCCAAACUCCUACGGGAGGCUGCAGUAGGGAAUCUUCCACAAUGGGCGAAAGCCUGAUGGAGCAACGCCGCGUGUGUGAUGAAGGCUUUCGGGUCGUAAAGCACUGUUGUAUGGGAAGAACAGCUAGAAUAGGGAAUGAUUUUAGUUUGACGGUACCAUACCAGAAAGGGACGGCUAAAUACGUGCCAGCAGCCGCGGUAAUACGUAUGUCCCGAGCGUUAUCCGGAUUUAUUGGGCGUAAAGCGAGCGCAGACGGUUGAUUAAGUCUGAUGUGAAAGCCCGGAGCUCAACUCCGGAAUGGCAUUGGAAACUGGUUAACUUGAGUGCAGUAGAGGUAAGUGGAACUCCAUGUGUAGCGGUGGAAUGCGUAGAUAUAUGGAAGAACACCAGUGGCGAAGGCGGCUUACUAGACUGUAACUGACGUUGAGGCUCGAAAGUGUGGGUAGCAAACAGGAUUAGAUACCCUGGUAGUCCACACCGUAAACGAUGAACACUAGGUGUUAGGAGGUUUCCGCCUCUUAGUGCCGAAGCUAACGCAUUAAGUG